CUGCAAUUUCUAGAUUAAUUUU
RNAcentral lists this small nuclear RNA (22 nucleotides) under Arabidopsis thaliana (thale cress). Its description in RNAcentral is "snRNA_14849". Lineage: Eukaryota; Viridiplantae; Streptophyta; Magnoliopsida; Brassicales; Brassicaceae. The record is from RNAcentral.